AUGUCUCUUCCGAAUCACAUUAGUCAAAUCACCCUCCUCCCUAACCAAGACGACACCAUCCAUUGGAACUUAACCACCUCGAGGACAUACUCGGCCUCCUCUGCCUAUGGCGCGCAGUUCCUUGGCUCCUACUCUCGUUUCGACACAACCAAGGUCUGGUCUGCAAACGCUGAGCCCAAGUGCAAGUUCUUUGCUUGGCUUGCUCUACACAGAAGAAUCCUCACUACGGAUAUGCUGGCUGUGAGGGGAUGGCCUCAUGAGCCCAGAUGCAUGCUCUAUCUCCAGCAGCCUGAAACAGCAACUCACCUCUUCAAAGACUACCCCUUCAUGGUCGGUCUGGAACCAGGUGAACACCUGGACUAA
This 363-nucleotide ribosomal RNA is filed under the name Triticum aestivum (bread wheat). Its description in RNAcentral is "partial small subunit ribosomal RNA". Lineage: Eukaryota; Viridiplantae; Streptophyta; Magnoliopsida; Poales; Poaceae. The record is from RNAcentral.